Long non-coding RNA from Pogoniulus pusillus (Red-fronted tinkerbird), 1284 nucleotides. RefSeq lists it as uncharacterized. The transcript is spliced from 6 exons. The record is from RefSeq and is a predicted model, not a curated record. Lineage: Eukaryota; Metazoa; Chordata; Aves; Piciformes; Lybiidae.
CCGCAUGCGCGGAGCUGGAGCUGCAGGGGCGGGAGAGUGUCGGGCGCUGGGCCGGCGAGGUUUGUGGGGCGGGUGUUCGUGUCCUGAGGUGCCCUUCUGUUCUAGGGAAGGUGAGGCUGCACUUAGCCCCUGGCGUUAGAAGCGCCUUCCGAGGAGAAGUGUCUUCUUUUCUGUUUUAUUUCGCUGUGUUUUUUUUCCUUCUUCUCCUCAGUAAGCAGCGAGGAUAGGGGUCGUGCCUUGCGGGGAGGCGGGUUGUGACGCCCAGCUCUCCGCUCUGGCACCCUAUUAUCGCUGGGCAGGCCGGCUGACUCACAGCCCUUGCGGGGAGAGCUCCUGGGCAAACACUGCCACUUCAGUCAAUGGCAGGUAUGGAUGCUCAGCACUCCUGAGAGAUGCCACCCAUUCAGAUAAAGUAGCUUUGUUUUAAUAAUUCUAUUUACUGAACUGAAAAUCAGAAGACUGGUAAUUAAUAUUUGUCUUUUAAGAGCUUGAACUUGGAUGUUUUAGCUAGUUUUGCUCUGUGUGUACUUCACGUUGAAUCUUCUGAGGGCUAUGGCAGCUCAUUCUCACCCAGGAGGUCAAAGCCAGUUGCUGCUUCACCAAAGAAGUCAGUAUUCUCCUAACUCUCCCUAUCUGCUUAACUGCAAAACCUUUGAGGAGGAGUUUAAAUAGUCACCAGAGAAGCCUAAGUAGGAUGUGUGCUGACUUUUCAAGCUUUGCCUGUUUCCUGAGGGAAAUGCCACAGCUCUCAAUUCCUGGUAUUAUUCCAAAUGAAGUUUCAAAUGCUGAAGGACAAGUUGAGGUACAAUGAACUGUCACAGUUUCAUCACACCACCAGAUAACAUGCUGUCAUUGUGCUGAAGUAAAGAUGAAAGCAUUUCAGUUCAGAAACCAAUUACCUGAGCAUCUCUGUACGGUAUGUUUUCUAAUUGCUUUAACAUCAACAUUACUGUUUGGAAUUUUGUGAUUAGGAGUAAAAAUUGCUAUUAUUACCAAAUGCAACCUUCCAUAAACCAUUAAGAACAGUGGUGUGUACAUAAGUUCUGGACAUAAUUCCUGUUACACCAUUAAUGCUCUUUCUGCUUAGUUUUUUUUACUCUAUUACCAAUUAUGUUCACUUAGUCUUACAGUAACUCCCUCAGUGUCAAAUAUUUUCCACUAGGAAUAAAAAGAAUGUUUUGUAUUAGGCAUUUUUUUAACAAUGUGAUGCUGAUGUAAAGAAAUAUUCAAACAUGGUAAACAGACAAAAUAUGAACCAACAUUAAAAAGUUAUCCAAACUGUAA